This 1227-nucleotide long non-coding RNA is filed under the name Sinocyclocheilus grahami. RNAcentral describes it as "lncRNA (ENSSGRG00000018506.1)". The record is from RNAcentral. Lineage: Eukaryota; Metazoa; Chordata; Actinopteri; Cypriniformes; Cyprinidae.
CACCAAGGCAUUGUCUUCAUUCCACUGUAAAGAUGAGUUCACGGCUGCUUGCUGUGUCAUGGCAUUUCAACACCAUCAGAAAAUCAUUACAGAUCCAAGAGGAACAAAGAUAGACAUGUCAGAUGUAAGACAUGCAUUAUGUCACUCAGGCCUUGAACCUUUGCCGGUUGUGGAAAAAGUGAUCUUUCCAUGUCUCCUACACUUCACACCACUGAAAUCUGAUUGGACAGCUACACAGACUCCGGUGGAAUGAAGGAUAGAAUUCACAGAGCAGAUAAAACCGCAUUUCGGCUUCCACAGCUCUUCUGUACCUGUAUGAAGUAUAACACAAUAUAAGCACACUGUCAAUAAAUAAAUCACAGGGAAUAUGGAUUACUUAAAGACUGUACAUCUAACGGGCAAAUUUUGAAAAUUUUAAUUUCCAAAUCUAACUGAUUUAACUGUUGUGCAGGUUCAAGUUCCAUUGUGACGGCAGUUGUUGCCUUCAGAGAGUGUGAGAGAAUGUACUCUGUGACUUGGCCUCUCCCUUCAGCGAGCCCAAACCUGUCUCUCCCUCUGUGCCUGUAGGUCAUACAGUUACGAGGCCUGUUUACUUUGCCAACCACAAAAAAACUGGGCUUUUUGACUCCCAACACAGUGUAACACAACCCUAAACCCCCACCCCCCGCGAACAUGCAUGUGUGUUUGAGAGGGGGGUUUUCCACACGCUUUAGUACGGAUCUGCACAGAUUUACCCUCUUACAUGCAUACAAUCAAAAUAAAAAAAAUACAUAUUUUAAACCUAAAGUACUUUUUUUAGUUUAUCUUUUUAACAUCAUUGCCGUCAAGCAGAAUGUAGAAGAAUAUUUUAAAAUGUAAAUCAAAUGGCAUUUUCUUAAGACAAUUGCUAAUGUUACCCACCUUGACUUUGACCACACACUCACCUUGCUCAUGGCGUUAGAUCCAACUUGGUGCUAAACAAACAAAAAGUCAGAUAUUGUUUUCUGUUAAACCUUGCAAAAAAUAAAAAGGCCUAAACCCUUAGCAUGAAGGUCUUGAACGUUUUUAGUUGGUCCCAAUGUGCGCUUGAUUCCCACCGUGAUGAGCAGCAGUGUGAUCCUCUUUCUCAGGUCUGUCUUUAUUUGCCUACCUGCUUCAGGUAGCGCUGCUACACCAGCAGGCAGCGACCAAUGGGAAUUAGCCUUUUUUUGCAAACCGCACCCCUUCGUAUCAUAAAUCUGAACCACA